This is a long non-coding RNA of Pseudopipra pipra, 262 nucleotides long. RefSeq lists it as uncharacterized. The record is from RefSeq and is a predicted model, not a curated record. The transcript is spliced from 2 exons. Lineage: Eukaryota; Metazoa; Chordata; Aves; Passeriformes; Pipridae.
CCCGGCCCUGCUCCGCACCGCUUCGGCCGCCGGUAAAACCGGGGCCGCUGCGUUCGGCCUCAUCGGUGAAACGAAAAUCGUGGGGAAAAUCUGCAGUAGGAGCGCUCGCUCUGCCGGGACCACUCGGUGAUCCUCGCUACCGCGGGGAUAAGGAAAAUAGCCCAAGCAGUGGGAUCGCAUGGGAAAUCAGGCUGUAUUUAUUUUUAAUGCAAAUGCGCAUAAAUGAUUCUCCGGCUUUCUAAGAACCGGCUGCUCAGCUGCA